This 73-nucleotide transfer RNA is filed under the name Candidatus Campbellbacteria bacterium CG10_big_fil_rev_8_21_14_0_10_35_52. RNAcentral's name for it is "tRNA-Lys". It matches the Rfam family "tRNA". Rfam says of the family: Transfer RNA (tRNA) molecules are approximately 80 nucleotides in length. Their secondary structure includes four short double-helical elements and three loops (D, anti-codon, and T loops). The record is from RNAcentral. Lineage: Bacteria; Candidatus Campbelliibacteriota.
CCGCCCAUAGCUCAGUUGGUAGAGCGGCUCCCUUUUAAGGAGAUGGUCGCAGGUUCAAGUCCUGCUGGGCGGA